RNAcentral lists this ribosomal RNA (190 nucleotides) under uncultured Flavobacteriales bacterium. RNAcentral describes it as "partial 16S ribosomal RNA". It matches the Rfam family "Bacterial small subunit ribosomal RNA", at positions 335 to 523 of the family's 1533-position model. Lineage: Bacteria; Pseudomonadati; Bacteroidota; Flavobacteriia; Flavobacteriales. The record is from RNAcentral.
ACCCCUACGGGAGGCAGCAGUGAGGAAUAUUGGACAAUGGGCGGGAGCCUGAUCCAGCCAUGCCGCGUGCAGGAAGACUGCCCUAUGGGUUGUAAACUGCUUUUAUACGGGAAUAAAUGCCCUACGUGUAGGGAGUUGCAUGUACCGUAUGAAUAAGCACCGGCUAACUCCGUGCCAGCAGCCGCGGUAA